GUCCUACGGGCGGCUGCAGUGGGGAAUUUUGCGCAAUGGACGAAAGUCUGACGCAGCAACGCCGCGUGGGUGAUGAAGGUCUUCGGAUUGUAAAACCCUGUCGUCAGGGACGAAGGUUGGGAUCUUAAUAGGGUUUCAGCUUGACGGUACCUGGAGAGGAAGCCCCGGCUAACUCUGUGCCCGCAGCCGCGGUAAUACAGAGGGGGCAAGCGUUAUUCGGAAUUAUUGGGCGUAAAGGGCGCGUAGGCGGUUUUGUAAGUAGGAUGUGUAAUCCCCGAGCUCAACUUGGGAACUGCAUCCUAGACUGCAGGACUGGAGUGCUGGAGAGGGUGGUGGAAUUCCACGUGUAGCGGUGAAAUGCGUAGAGAUGUGGAGGAACACCAGUGGCGAAGGCGGCCACCUGGACAGUAACUGACGCUGAGGCGCGAAAGUGUGGGUAGCAAACAGGAUUAGAUACCCUAGUAGUC
RNAcentral lists this ribosomal RNA (467 nucleotides) under uncultured Holophagaceae bacterium. RNAcentral's name for it is "bacterial SSU rRNA". It matches the Rfam family "Bacterial small subunit ribosomal RNA", at positions 335 to 795 of the family's 1533-position model. The record is from RNAcentral. Lineage: Bacteria; Pseudomonadati; Acidobacteriota; Holophagae; Holophagales; Holophagaceae.